GUACAGUAUAAUGUCAGACUCAAUUGUCACUAAGGUAAGCUCACAUGAGCAUGUGUUGUACAUUUUGGGGGACAUAUGUGUAUCGGAGUUAAGAGCGUACCGUAAACUCACUCCACAGCAAGCUUGAAAUGUCGCUGACGGAGCCAUCCAAGAGGGUUCUCUUGUACUGCUUAAUCGGUUCGCAUGGCGUCAAAGAGGGCGGUCGCGUGUGUUGCGAAGCAGAGAAUCACUGGUUCAAGCCCAGUAUGGGGCAGUCGGACAGUGGAGGAAGCUACUGUAAGCUGUUAGCAGCAGACUCACCCCCUUUAAAAAAAAAAAAGAGUUUUUUGUUGAAAAACAUAUGGCCCAAAUAAGGGGACUGUGCAUAGGAUACAUUUUCUAUUUUCUACAUGGUGUGUUUAGGUGUAUAGCUUUCACAACUAGUUUAGGGAUGAUUGUUUUAGGCUCAUUGAUAUCCUUUGCCGGUGUGUAUUCUUGUGGAUUUAAGUUAAUGAGGCUUCGAGUUGGCCGAAGAGGCAAGCCAUUAUGGUAUGAUAUACAGCAUGAAACAUAGGUAAGCAGUUCAUGGCGCAACUUUAUGAAAGGUGUAGCUGUACGAGUAACGGUGAUAAUUGGAUGACCAUCAGUAUUGUCAACACUGACAAAUAAAGCAAGGAGAGCGAGACAGAGAGAAAGCGCGCAAGAUACCUAGCUGUUUCUCUACUGCAGUGAUAGAGUAAAAGACAUCACUCCUGCACAAAGACCUCCCUCAGACUUUUCUCCUCCAUCUACAAGCAAAAGAGGGUCCAAAUGUCUUACCGUUCACUGGCCGAACUAGCCAGUAAGUUAGCGAUUCAAGUAAAAAAAAAAAAUACAAGCAUUUUUGCCAUACACCAAUGACUCCUCUCAACCAUGCACAGCACACACACACACACACACACACACACACACACACACACACACACACACACACACACACACACACACACACACACACUCCUGCAGCACAAUCAUUUAGCCAGAGCUUGGCCUCCUGACAGACGUUUUUUUCUUCUCUCUCUGAUUCUGGCUCUCACUCUUUCUCCCUCGCUACUCUCUCUGCCUCCCCCUCUUUCUUUCUGCCUCCUCCUCUCUCUCUCUCUCUCUGUCUCCCCCUCUCUGUCUCCCCCUCUCUGUCUCUGUAUGCCACCCGCACCGCUUAAAGAUUUAGGAAGCAAGAAGUGGAUCCAGUAGAAUGGGUAGACAUACAGUACAUGUGUAGAUGGAUUUCUGCGGACAUACGGACAUACUUCCACGCAAACACACACCCCAUUCUGUGGUAUUCACACAGAAAGCAUACCGUACACAUAUAAUCCAAGCAUCUUCAUAUCGGCCUGCGUCACUAAUGUCAGGGUCUCCAGAACGGCUGCUUGUUUUGCAUACUGUACUUUUCAAGCUCGGGCCGAGGGCCCUUAGACGGCAGGUACCACCUCAAGUGGCAAUUAGUGGCGCCAUUCAGGUACCCAUGCGGCACCCCCCUCUCUAAAAACAUACUCUACCCUGCUCCUCUUUCCCUGUCUCUCACCUACCACACUCUUGUUCACAAAGAGGCGUCCAUCUUACAUGCUUUGACUAAAAAUCCAGAACUUAUCUCACGGUUUUGCUCUAAGCAGAGGCAGUGAGGCAGCUUAGCUUUUCUCCUCCAGCCCUGUGGUUUUUCCUCCUGUACAAAGUGUACAGUGUUUGCUGAUUUACUUGCCGUUCACUCGGGGAAAAAAUGUGUCCGUCUAUUUGUUCGGUGAUUUUUUUUGUUAGUUUUAUUAGCUGAUUAGUCGAUAUAGGUUAAUUCUAUUUUCACUGGUCUGAUUAUUUUGUGUGGUGAGGCUAGUUCCAUUUAGUUGUUUCUCUGGUGUUUCAAACUGUUAGAAUAUAUCGUUUUAAUUCUGGUCAAAUCUGAGGGUGAUGUAUUAUAAAUUAGUCGUUUUGUUGACUUUAAUGCCAUUGCGUUAUAAAUGUGGCCUGCUUUUACGAAACUGAAGUGGCCCCAGCGAGUCAGAGGCACAAAGCAAAUGCGUAUUGCUCAAGAGCCCAACCCACAACGUCCCUCUGCUCUGCUCAGAUAAACUGUACGCUGUGCUAAUCAAGCUUCAAAGUAUUUGGUUUGCAGAUAAAACACAACUGAUUUGCAGUUAUUUGAUUAUUUAUAGUGCUAGCCGUAGCUGGACACUGCUAAGUAUUGUAGCAUAAAUUGUCCACAUAGAUGGGGGUAUUGUGUAAAUGAUCUGUAGAAAAAGUGACUGUCACUGGACCUGUUAGUACACUCAGUCUUUGCAGUACUUGUAGCCGUCUCGCAUCUCUGUUCCCUUUUUGUAUACAUUGGUGUCAAUUAAAGAUAGAAUUUGUUAGCUGAUUGAGUUUCCCUAUUCAUUAGACUUGAUGUUUGGUGAGCUUUUUGAAAUACUUGCCACUGUUCUGUACUGUAAUCCCAAUUGAACAGCUAGCUGUAGGUUUAAGACGGAGAUUCUAACAUGGAAAUAGCAAUCAGCCAUAGCGAUUGUUUAUUGAUUCGACAAAAGAUCUGCGGCAGUCUUUUUGCUCUAGUAUGGGCCACCGUACUUUUUCCUUCCACACUGCCGCCUGCAGUGAAAGAGGAUUUUUAUCCCACGUUUCUGAUUUCUUUCUCACUCUCUCUCUCUGUCAUUCAUUUCAUUUCAUUCUCCUCGUUUUUUCCCAGCCUGGAUUCUCAGAUGGUUGGUUCUGAUUUGCAUGUAUUUGCAUAAUGAAUGUAAUUUGCAUGCUCAGGGGCAGACUAUACCAUGAGGACGGGUAUGUUGGCUGCUUGUGUGUGUGUGUGUGUGUGUGUGUGUGUGUGUGUGGGGGAAUAUAUAGCAAAAAUAGUCAGGUCAUCUUGUUGUUCAUCCAUAGUGUGUAUAUCAAAGGUUUAUCUAGUUUUUUGUGCACGUUUUGACAUAUACAUCUCCUCCAAAUAUGAAUACUGUAGUAAUUCUUUAAGCAUGCGCGAUAUGUGUCAGUGUAUGGAUGUUUGUGUGUGUGAGUGCAUGUGCGUGAACCUGAGAAAGACAUGCAGGCAUGUCCCACUCAUUGGCCAGUAGACCUGACAAUCAUCUCCCUUCCUCUAUCCCUCCCAUCCCCCUAUCUUCCUGUCCUGGUAACCAUUCUGUAAUGCACUGACUAAAUGAAAGAGAUUCACUUCUCUAUCCCAGCAUCCUUCACUCUCUCCCUCCUCUCCCUCCCUCCCUAGUUUGCCCCCUUCUCCUGCACAACGAGUCACAGCCCUGCUGCCACCAUCUUAGAAUAGGACUAGGACUGGCACAAAAUGGCAGUGACCCAUCACAUUGAAGUUAUGUCACAGCCAGUCCACCACCUUCCGACGGCCACCCCACCUCACCAAUGGUGAGGUCCAUUUCCGAACGUAGUGGUGCCCACCUGACCUAAAUGGAACCGGAUUGGCUCCUCUUCCAUUUUUCUCUGCCCCAGUAUUUAAACCUGAAGCCCUUUGUGGACGUUGAACGAUCUCCUUUUGGUUGGGGUGAACUUUAGGCACAUGCCUGGACAUGCCUGACAAACUGAAAAUGGGGUAAUGUACUGUUGGGUCAUGGAUACCAGUGGAUACCCAACCACAGCUGCCUCUGUGGGCUUCAUCCCCAGACCGUCUUUGGAUACACCAAUCAAAGGACAAGUUGAAAUGGACCACUGUGAACUAGUGUGUCUCUGUCCUCCUACAACUAACUGACUGGAUACAUGGACAGAAAUGGAGGGUGUGAGAUGUGUGUGUUCUGUGUUGUGAUGGUACACUGUCUUCUCUGAGACGACUCUACACACAGCUGUGUCCGUCACAUCUGCAAUACAUUCGACACGGGUCAGCAUGCUGAUCUGUUCAUGUGUGCUGUGCUUGUUUGUGUAUAUGUGCUUGUUUGUCUAAGCGCAUACACUUUGAGUCACCCUCACUCAGAGCAAGUUCUGUUCUGGGAUUGUAAGCAACACACGCACACACAUCACAAAUCAUAGUAAAUGUCUUUUAACCUCCUUAUGGUUAACGGACAUAGGAUUUAUCAUGUGCUUAUGCUACCUGGCAAAAAUAAUAUUUGCAACUGGAGGAGGUUGUAUGGUUUAGUAGUAGAAUCGCACUGCAGCACUGAUUUUAUUAUCAAGGGGAGGAUACAACUGGUAAAUAAGUAUCUUAUAUUGGACAGCCCACAUAGUAUUCAGAUCAUUUAUGUAUAGAUAGAACACGUACAAUUAAUUAAAAUAAAACAUAGAAAUGUGCUAAUUGAGUGAUUUAAACAAUUGUAGUAUAGAAAUCAGAGUAGGACGAUAAUUUAUGUGUUAUUUAGUUUACAUAAUGGAUAUGAAUACUAGUUUAGUUAGAAUUUCUCAAAUUAUUUUCAAAAUGUGAAAAUGUGUGUAUUUUUUGUUGUUGUGUAUAUUAUUUCUAUGCAUCUUUUGAAACCUAUGCAAAUGAAUCCACAAAGUAGAUAUUUUAGAAUUUGCUAAUGACGAUCAUUCAAUUUCUCAGAGGGUUUAGAUUUUUCCCCAGACAAUCUGUUGUAUACUGUAGGGUGAUGUGAGAGAUUAGAAAUGAAAGUGCAAUACAGGAACGUUUCUGAGCCCUGCUCCAGACAGCAAAAUAUGUUGGGAUUUUACAGCGUUUUUCUCAACUGAUUUGGAUUUUUAGAUAUUUUUUAGAAGUGUAUCAAUAUCAAAAUAUAAACAUUGGAAUGUUUAAUUUGCUUAACUGUCUGAGUCUUAAAUUAACGGAUUGACUAGAAAGUUGCAUAUACAGUUUUCCAAACAAUUAUUUUGGGAUUUCAUGUGAACAUUUUUACUCUAUGCAACUUUUAUACUUUGUAACUUUUUGUAAUAAAUAAUAUGACUAUCAUUCGGAGCAACUGCAAUUCAUAUUUGUUUCACUGUUUAAGACUUCAUUUGAGAAACUAUGCAAUGGCUGUAUACUAAAUGUGUUUGAUAGUGUGAUGUACUGUACGGUUUUACAACAAUGUGUACUCUACAUGAACAACAAAUGUGUACUCUUUGAGCAUAGUAUGUAAUAGCCUGUAAAUAUACUGUACGUUAUCAAGACCGCACUAUAUGUAGUUGGUUAUGGGCAAUUUGUUGUGGGGAAUGUGCAAUCAGAGUGCAUGUGUGCACUACAUGAGUUUAAACUGUAAACAGUCAGGGUGAAGUGUGUGUAGAAUGAUGCAUCAUGUAGAAAGCAAGAGUACAAUAGAUGGAAUGUGUGCAAUGUGUGUGGAGGCAUGCACUACGCUGAGGGUGAGUGCAAUGUUUUAAUGACAAUGUUGGAUUUUAAAGAGAUGUUUGCAUGAGUGCACUAUGGCCCACAAGAUCAUAGACUAUGUUAGGCAUGUUUGCAAAUGACCUGUGAAUCCUGACUGUAGGGGACUGACUCGUUCUUGUACCAUGGACUCUGUACGAUUAAGUCAACACAAUAAAUGUUUACAUUUAAAAAAAAUAAAAACACAUGUCUGUCUG
This 5469-nucleotide long non-coding RNA is filed under the name Salmo salar (Atlantic salmon). Its description in RNAcentral is "lncRNA (ENSSSAG00000004574.2)". The record is from RNAcentral. Lineage: Eukaryota; Metazoa; Chordata; Actinopteri; Salmoniformes; Salmonidae.